GAUGAACGCUGGCGGCGUGCUUAACACAUGCAAGUCGAACGAAGCACUUUAUUUGAUUUCCUUCGGGACUGAUUAUUUUGUGACUGAGUGGCGGACGGGUGAGUAACGCGUGGGUAACCUGCCUUGUACAGGGGGAUAACAGUUGGAAACGGCUGCUAAUACCGCAUAAGCGCCCAGCAUCGCAUGAUGCAGUGUGAAAAGUUCCGGUGGUAUAAGAUGGACCCGCGUUGGAUUAGCUAGUUGGUGAGGUAACGGCCCACCAAGGCGACGAUCCAUAGCCGACAUGAGAGGGUGACCGGCCACAUUGGGACUGGGACACGGCCCAAACUCCUACGGGAGGCAGCAGUGGGGAAUAUUGCACAAUGGGCGAAAGCCUGAUGCAGCGACGCCGCGUGAGCGAAGAAGUAUUUCGGUAUGUAAAGCUCUAUCAGCAGGGAAGAUAAUGACGGUACCUGACUAAGAAGCACCGGCUAAAUACGUG
This 481-nucleotide ribosomal RNA is filed under the name uncultured bacterium. RNAcentral describes it as "partial 16S ribosomal RNA". It matches the Rfam family "Bacterial small subunit ribosomal RNA", at positions 28 to 507 of the family's 1533-position model. The record is from RNAcentral.